UGGGGAAUAUUGGGCAAUGGGCGCAAGCCUGACCCAGCAACGCCGCGUGAGGGAAGAAGGUCUUCGGAUCGUAAACCUCAGUCAGGAGGGAAGAAGUGGGUUGUCCUGAACAGGGACGAUCUUUGACGGUACCUCCAGAGGAAGCACCGGCCAACUCCGUGCCAGCAGCCGCGGUAAUACGGAGGGUGCAAGCGUUAUUCGGAAUCACUGGGCGUAAAGCGCACGUAGGCGGCUUUGCAAGUCAGGUGUGAAAGCCCUCGGCUCAACCGAGGAAUUGCACUUGAAACUGCAGAGCUGGAGUUCGGGAGAGGGUGGCGGAAUUCCAGGUGUAGGAGUGAAAUCCGUAGAUAUCUGGAGGAACACCAGAGGCGAAGGCGGCCACCUGGACCGAAACUGACGCUGAGGUGCGAAAGCGUGGGGAGCAAACA
This 428-nucleotide ribosomal RNA is filed under the name uncultured bacterium. RNAcentral describes it as "bacterial SSU rRNA". It matches the Rfam family "Bacterial small subunit ribosomal RNA", at positions 355 to 774 of the family's 1533-position model. The record is from RNAcentral.